RNAcentral lists this ribosomal RNA (494 nucleotides) under uncultured bacterium. RNAcentral's name for it is "partial 16S ribosomal RNA". It matches the Rfam family "Bacterial small subunit ribosomal RNA", at positions 899 to 1397 of the family's 1533-position model. The record is from RNAcentral.
ACUCAAAUGAAUUGACGGGGACCCGCACAAGCGGUGGAUGAUGUGGUUUAAUUCGAUGCAACGCGAAAAACCUUACCUACCCUUGACAUGCCAGGAACUUGCCAGAGAUGGCUUGGUGCUCGAAAGAGAACCUGGACACAGGUGCUGCAUGGCCGUCGUCAGCUCGUGUCGUGAGAUGUUGGGUUAAGUCCCGCAACGAGCGCAACCCUUAUCAUUAGUUGCUACGCAAGGGCACUCUAAUGAGACUGCCGGUGACAAACCGGAGGAAGGUGGGGAUGACGUCAGGUCAUCAUGGCCCUUAUGGGUAGGGCUACACACGUCAUACAAUGGCCGGUACAGAGGGCUGCCAACCCGCGAGGGGGAGCUAAUCUCAGAAAACCGGUCGUAGUCCGGAUCGUAGUCUGCAACUCGACUGCGUGAAGUCGGAAUCGCUAGUAAUCGCGGAUCAGCUUGCCGCGGUGAAUACGUUCCCGGGUCUUGUACACACCGCCCGU